This 565-nucleotide long non-coding RNA is filed under the name Capsella rubella. RNAcentral's name for it is "long non-coding RNA (CRUB_LNC001847)". The record is from RNAcentral. Lineage: Eukaryota; Viridiplantae; Streptophyta; Magnoliopsida; Brassicales; Brassicaceae.
GCUUAUCUAAUUUCGUUAUAAAACUUACACAACAUACGAUAUUUUGCAAUAUUACUUUUUUUUUUUUUUUCUCAAGUUGAAGUUACAUGCUAUGUGACGUUUUACAUACACGUAGGUAACUAUAAUAUGUUUUAACUUUAUGAUUAUAGCAAACGACAGGUACAUGACACAAUCUUUAUAUAUACUAUUUAUAAGUUAGUUCUAUUUACUUCUGAAAGAAAAAGAAAAAUCUGUUCAUAAUUAUAUAAUUCUUUCUCAGUUUGGGAAUAUAUAAUUUAUCGUCUAUUUUAAUAGCUACAUAGCAAUACUACAUACAAGUUUAAUGUCACGUUUGUGCAUGUCUAUCUACUCCAAUUGUUUUUUAUUUUUUCUGGAAUAGGUCGUGUUUACUGUAUAGUAUUAGAUGGUCAUUACAUGAGUCAUCUUGGUCAUGAGAAUAACAAUAUCUAUAACAAAACAAGACAAACAUUAAAGACUACAAUAUCUAUUUGUAAAGAGAGAGAGUUGAAUAUUCAAAAGUGAACCAACGCCAAUCAUCUGGUUGAUUCGGCCUUUGAAUGUAGGC